UUUAGGAUCCUAUAAAAUAGAAUUAAUCUAUAAGUAGCUAAGUAUUUAAAUCUAAUUACUUUGUGAUUUUA
Molecule: transfer RNA, 71 nt
Filed under: Pinnixulala retinens
Lineage: Eukaryota; Metazoa; Arthropoda; Malacostraca; Decapoda; Pinnotheridae
Description: Pinnixa retinens tRNA-Leu
Source: RNAcentral